UGGGGAAUUUUGGACAAUGGGCGAAAGCCUGAUCCAGCCAUGCCGCGUGUGUGAAGAAGGUCUUCGGAUUGUAAAGCACUUUAAGUUGGGAGGAAGGGCAGUAAGCGAAUACCUUGCUGUUUUGACGUUACCGACAGAAUAAGCACCGGCUAACUCUGUGCCAGCAGCCGCGGUAAUACAGAGGGUGCAAGCGUUAAUCGGAAUUACUGGGCGUAAAGCGCGCGUAGGUGGUUCGUUAAGUUGAAUGUGAAAGCCCCGGGCUCAACCUGGGAACUGCAUCCAAAACUGGCGAGCUAGAGUAGGGCAGAGGGUGGUGGAAUUUCCUGUGUAGCGGUGAAAUGCGUAGAUAUAGGAAGGAACACCAGUGGCGAAGGCGACCACCUGGGCUCAUACUGACACUGUGGUGCGAAAGCGUGGGGAGCAAACAGG
RNAcentral lists this ribosomal RNA (429 nucleotides) under Pseudomonadota bacterium. Its description in RNAcentral is "Proteobacteria bacterium partial 16S ribosomal RNA". It matches the Rfam family "Bacterial small subunit ribosomal RNA", at positions 355 to 776 of the family's 1533-position model. Lineage: Bacteria; Pseudomonadati; Pseudomonadota. The record is from RNAcentral.